GGAUCAAUCUGUUGGUCGUGCCUUUGGUACGUACUAGCUUAUUGAUUUCUCCCUUCUGACGAACCAUGAUGUCAUUUAUUUGGUGUUGUGGGAAAUCAGGACUGUUACUUUGAAAAAAUUAGAGUGCUUAAAGCAGGCUCACGCUUGAAUACAUUAGCAUGGAAUAAUGAAAUAGGACGUUUGAUUCUAUUUUGUUGGUUUCUAGGAUCGACGUAAUGAUUAAUAGGGAUAGUUGGGUCACCAAGCAAAGCUUGAGGGUACAAAUGACGCUCGAACAGGCAUGCCCUUUGGAAUACCAAAGGGCGCAAUGUGC
RNAcentral lists this unclassified non-coding RNA (313 nucleotides) under uncultured Glomus. RNAcentral's name for it is "bacterial SSU rRNA". It matches the Rfam family "Eukaryotic small subunit ribosomal RNA", at positions 643 to 975 of the family's 1831-position model. The record is from RNAcentral. Lineage: Eukaryota; Fungi; Glomeromycota; Glomeromycetes; Glomerales; Glomeraceae.